AUUUAGGAUUAGGUUUCGGGUUAUGGUUAGGGUUCAGGUUCGGGUUCAGUUUCGGAUUCAGGUUCGGGUUAGGGUUAGGGUUAGGGUUCGGGUUAGGGUUAGGGUUCAGGUUAGGUUAGGGUUUGGGUUCGGGUUAGGGUUACUGUUAGGGUUAGGUUUUGCUAGCAGGAGUUCAACCCCAACGAACACAGCCCGGAGACCCCUGGGGCAAAAACGGUUUCCGAGGAACAAUAGGUUCUUAAUUUAUCCCAAGUGGGGGUAGCCAGGUAAACAAUGCCACACACACAGGUGUAAGAGACGGCAUUCCCCAGUCAUGGUCUAAGCCCCUCGCCUCGUCCCUGUACUUUGGGGAGCCUGAGGGACACCCGAGGCCCACGGCCCUGAGACCCAUUUGGCCAAAAGCCGGCAUCCAACGGAAACAGUUUUCCUGAGGUACGCACCCUAUCACAAGAGGUUAUGGCAAGGUAAAGCAAAUGCCAUCCACUUCUCUGGAAGAAACCACAGUGCCCAGCC
RNAcentral lists this long non-coding RNA (513 nucleotides) under Ursus maritimus (polar bear). Its description in RNAcentral is "lncRNA (ENSUMAG00000017333.1)". The record is from RNAcentral. Lineage: Eukaryota; Metazoa; Chordata; Mammalia; Carnivora; Ursidae.